GACGUAGGGCGCGAGCGUUGUCCGGAUUUAUUGGGCGUAAAGAGCUCGUAGGCGGUUCAGUAAGUCGGGUGUGAAAACUUUGGGCUUAACCCAAAGCGUGCAUCUGAUACUGCUGUGACUUGAGUUCGGUAGGGGAGUGGGGAAUUCCUAGUGUAGCGGUGAAAUGCGCGGAUAUUAGGAGGAACACCGGUGGCGAAGGCGCCACUCUGGGCCGAAACUGACGCUGAGGAGCGAAAGCAUGGGUAGCAAACAGG
RNAcentral lists this ribosomal RNA (254 nucleotides) under uncultured bacterium. Its description in RNAcentral is "partial 16S ribosomal RNA". It matches the Rfam family "Bacterial small subunit ribosomal RNA", at positions 524 to 776 of the family's 1533-position model. The record is from RNAcentral.